UACGUAGGUGGCGAGCGUUGUCCGGAAUUACUGGGUGUAAAGCGCGUGUAGGCGGGAGGCCAAGUCUGUGGUGAAAUCGCUCGGCUUAACUGGGCGGGGUCCAUGGAAACUGGUCACCUGGAGGUCGGUAGAGGCAAGUGGAAUUCCCGGUGUAGUGGUGAAAUGCGUAGAGAUCGGGAGGAACACCAGUGGCGAAGGCGGCUUGCUGGACCGGACCUGACGCUGAGACGCGAAGGCGUGGGGAGCGAACGGG
This 253-nucleotide ribosomal RNA is filed under the name uncultured bacterium. RNAcentral describes it as "partial 16S ribosomal RNA". It matches the Rfam family "Bacterial small subunit ribosomal RNA", at positions 524 to 776 of the family's 1533-position model. The record is from RNAcentral.